AUGUUAUCUUUGGCAGCAUACCUACUAAAAUUUGAAUGAUACAGAGAAGAUUAGCAUGGCACCUGUACAAG
Molecule: small nuclear RNA, 71 nt
Filed under: Cariama cristata (Red-legged seriema)
Lineage: Eukaryota; Metazoa; Chordata; Aves; Cariamiformes; Cariamidae
Source: RNAcentral